RNAcentral lists this unclassified non-coding RNA (290 nucleotides) under Hevea brasiliensis (rubber tree). Lineage: Eukaryota; Viridiplantae; Streptophyta; Magnoliopsida; Malpighiales; Euphorbiaceae. The record is from RNAcentral.
GAGCAAGCACACGAACAACAGUAGAAUAUUUCUUUAUUUUUUCAAGCUCAGCUUCCACCUCUUUCUUCCCGGACUCAGUUGAAAAUUUCAGAGCAUAUUUUGUGAAAGCCUUCUUCUUCGACCUAUACCAGUUCUUAUAGAACCUGCGUCUCACUUCCUCACUGAGAUGCUCAGCCCAGACAGUGCUAAGAGACCGAAGGCCACGUGGAGUCUUCAGAUAACCAACUACUCCAACAAUAACCAUGGGCGGCGUUUCAAUGAUGGUUACAGCUUCACAAGUCUCCUUCUUG